GUUUACUGUGCACCAGGCACUGUGCUUGGUACUGUGUUUUUAAGUGGAGCAUCAGUGGUACUUCUCCAUUAAAAGAGUUGGCUCACCUCAGAGAGACUUCAAAUUAGGAGGAUAAUUAAGAUUUCUUCAGAGUUAGGAAAGGAGACUCUGAGACACACAUGAUUAAUGGAGUGGGUUUGAGUUCCGCUGGAGCAGAUGGUACAGGGCCAUCUCUUUGGGAGAAACCCUGGUUGGGAAUCAAGAAGAAUGUUUUGCAGUAUGAAUUCCCUCGCUAUAGUCUUAUUUAGUCCUUGGAGCAGAGUUCACAUCUGGGACCCCUUGGAGAAUUAGCCAUUGUGAGAACAGUGAACCAAGAGGAAACAGAAGUAAUAUAUAUUGAAAGGCUUCAUCUGAUCUCUUGCCUGGCUUCAAAGGAAGCUUCAUUUGUAAAGGACAUGCAUGCUUGUGAAGAAAGGACCCCCAUUAGGCAAUGCUGAAAUAAUAAAAGACUCUAUGUCCACAGCCCCUGGAACAGGGAACAUAAGGGACUUGCUCUGUGCCCAACUGCAAGAUUCCGCUGGAGCUGGGAUCCCUUUUCUGCUCAGUAGAGCACAAUUCCUUCCUUUUGCUAUAAAUUAAGAUCUAUCUGACAAGAAGCUUCC
This 641-nucleotide long non-coding RNA is filed under the name Marmota monax (woodchuck). The record is from RNAcentral. Lineage: Eukaryota; Metazoa; Chordata; Mammalia; Rodentia; Sciuridae.